GACGAACGCUGGCGGCGUGCCUAAUACAUGCAAGUCGAGCGGACGAAUCGAAAGCUUGCUUUUGAUUCGUUAGCGGCGGACGGGUGAGUAACACGUGGGCAACCUGCCCUGUAGACGGGGAUAACACCGAGAAAUCGGUGCUAAUACCGGAUAACGCGAAAUGUCGCAUGACGUUUCGUUGAAAGACGGCGCAAGCUGUCGCUACAGGAUGGGCCCGCGGCGCAUUAGCUAGUUGGUGAGGUAACGGCUCACCAAGGCGACGAUGCGUAGCCGACCUGAGAGGGUGAUCGGCCACACUGGGACUGAGACACGGCCCAGACUCCUACGGGAGGCAGCAGUAGGGAAUCUUCCGCAAUGGACGAAAGUCUGACGGAGCAACGCCGCGUGAGAGAAGAAGGCCUUCGGGUCGUAAAGCUCUGUUGUUAGGGAAGAACAAGUAACGCAGUAACUGGCGUUACCGUGACGGUACCUAACGAGAAAGCCACGGCUAACUACGUG
This 498-nucleotide ribosomal RNA is filed under the name uncultured bacterium. RNAcentral's name for it is "partial 16S ribosomal RNA". It matches the Rfam family "Bacterial small subunit ribosomal RNA", at positions 28 to 507 of the family's 1533-position model. The record is from RNAcentral.